This 255-nucleotide ribosomal RNA is filed under the name uncultured bacterium. RNAcentral's name for it is "partial 16S ribosomal RNA". It matches the Rfam family "Bacterial small subunit ribosomal RNA", at positions 524 to 776 of the family's 1533-position model. The record is from RNAcentral.
UACGGGGGGAGCAAGCGUUGUUCGGAUUUACUGGGCGUAAAGGGCGGGUAGGCGGCCACUGCAAGUCGGUUGUGAAAUCUCCGGGCUUAACCCGGAAAGGUCAAUCGAUACUGCAGGGCUAGAGUGCAGAAGGGGCAACUGGGAAUUCUCGGUGUAGCGGUGAAAUGCGUAGAUAUCGAGAGGAACACCUGCGGCGAAGGCGGGUUGCUGGGCUGACACUGACGCUGAACUGCGAAAGCUAGGGGAGCGAACGGG